AGGACGAACGCUGGCGGCGUGCUUAACACAUGCAAGUCGAACGGUAAGGCCCCUUCGGGGGUACACGAGUGGCGAACGGGUGAGUAACACGUGGGUAAUCUGCCCUGCACUUCGGGAUAAGCCUGGGAAACUGGGUCUAAUACCGGAUAUGAGCUCCUGCCGCAUGGUGGGGGUUGGAAAGUUUUUCGGUGCAGGAUGAGUCCGCGGCCUAUCAGCUUGUUGGUGGGGUAAUGGCCUACCAAGGCGACGACGGGUAGCCGGCCUGAGAGGGUGAUCGGCCACACUGGGACUGAGACACGGCCCAGACUCCUACGGGAGGCAGCAGUGGGGAAUAUUGCACAAUGGGCGAAAGCCUGAUGCAGCGACGCCGCGUGGGGGAUGACGGUCUUCGGAUUGUAAACCCCUUUCAGUAGGGACGAAGCGAGAGUGACGGUACCUGCAGAAGAAGCGACCGGCUAACUACGUGCCAGCAGCCGCGGU
RNAcentral lists this ribosomal RNA (480 nucleotides) under uncultured bacterium. Its description in RNAcentral is "SSU rRNA". It matches the Rfam family "Bacterial small subunit ribosomal RNA", at positions 26 to 521 of the family's 1533-position model. The record is from RNAcentral.